Molecule: ribosomal RNA, 378 nt
Filed under: uncultured bacterium
Lineage: Bacteria
Description: bacterial SSU rRNA
Rfam family: Bacterial small subunit ribosomal RNA
Source: RNAcentral
UAAUACGUAGGGUGCAAGCGUUAUCCGGAAUUAUUGGGCGUAAAGGGCUCGUAGGCGGUUCGUCGCGUCCGGUGUGAAAGUCCAUCGCUUAACGGUGGAUCUGCGCCGGGUACGGGCGGGCUGGAGUGCGGUAGGGGAGACUGGAAUUCCCGGUGUAACGGUGGAAUGUGUAGAUAUCGGGAAGAACACCAAUGGCGAAGGCAGGUCUCUGGGCCGUUACUGACGCUGAGGAGCGAAAGCGUGGGGAGCGAACAGGAUUAGAUACCCUGGUAGUCCACGCCGUAAACGGUGGAUGCUGGAUGUGGGGCCCGUUCCACGGGUUCCGUGUCGGAGCUAACGCGUUAAGCAUCCCGCCUGGGGAGUACGGCCGCAAGGCUA